CGUGUAGGCGGUGCGAUAAGUCGGGCGUGAAAUCUCCAGGCUUAACCUGGAGGGGCCGUUCGAAACUGUCGUGCUAGAGUGCGGGAGGGGGAAGUGGAAUUCCCGGUGUAGCGGUGAAAUGCGUAGAUAUCGGGAGGAACAUCUGUGGCGAAGGCGGCUUCCUGGACCGCAACUGACGCUGAGGCGCGAAAGCUAGGGGAGCAAACAGGAUUAGAUACCCUGGUAGUCCUAGCCCUAAACGAUGAACACUGGGUGUAGCCCUUCACGGGGCUGUGCCGAAGCUAACGCAUUAAGUGUUCCGCCUGGGGAGUACGGUCGCAAGGCUGAA
This 328-nucleotide ribosomal RNA is filed under the name uncultured bacterium. RNAcentral describes it as "bacterial SSU rRNA". It matches the Rfam family "Bacterial small subunit ribosomal RNA", at positions 568 to 898 of the family's 1533-position model. The record is from RNAcentral.